Molecule: long non-coding RNA, 559 nt
Organism: Panicum virgatum (switchgrass)
Lineage: Eukaryota; Viridiplantae; Streptophyta; Magnoliopsida; Poales; Poaceae
Exons: 2
Source: RefSeq, a predicted model, not a curated record
GGGUAAAAUGGUCUUUUUGCCCUCAACUUAACACCGUCAAGUGCCAAAAAUGGACAGAAGGCCAUAGAGGGAACUCAAUUUUCGAUCGGGGCCAUGGAGGGAAGUGAAAAUGAAAAAGGGCCACACAAGGAAGAUGCAUCUUCGUGGAGGCCAUACAGGGAAUUUACUCCAUGUUAUAACCUCCGAUUCAAGCUACACCAACUCAAGUAUCGCCUACAUCGACACCAGCUCAAGUCUUUGAUGAACCAAUUACGCAUAGACGAGCUAAAAAACUACAACAAGAGGUUCACCAAGGAGGAUGGCAAGAAUACAAAAGGAGAACAUUACAAAGAAGGACCACACUCUAACCGGACCAGUCCUAUAGAACAGUCUGAAAGAAUCGGUCAUAACUUUUGAUUUCCAAAAGCUAUAAAGGUCAAUGAGGACAUUUUAGAAAGCUUGUCAAGUCUACUUUCCAAUACCAUUCAUGACGGGUACUUUGAAUUAUCCACUAAUGAGAUCUGAUUACUUUAGUGAAGACUGGUCAAAAGGUCAAUAGUAUGCUAAACGUUCAACUUCC